CUCCAUCUAAAAAGAAAAAAAUAAUAAAAAUAAAAUAAAAUAAAAAGAAUCCAGAUGUUCUGGAUUAACCUGUCUGUAACCGAUACCUGCUGCUAGUCCGAGUGUAAAUACAAUACACUGGAACUAAAUUGUAUUAAAACCCAAUGAGAUUUAGAACAAAUCUAUUUUUUCUCUUUCUUGCAGGUGCUCAGGGAAGUAAGGAAGUUUUAUCUCUGGAAUUGUGGUUGAAAUGUGCUACAGAAAUUUCAGGGAUAAAGAAGAAAACCACUAGAGUUUCUCUGACCAUCAGCUCCCCAACGAAUGAAACCUCCAACAACAGAUCAAGUUACUCUAACUUAGUUCAACAACUGUAUAUUAAUCCCUAGAGGAUGCAGAGUCCCUGCAGCAGCCUGUCAGGAUCCACUUGUGUAGUACCCUCUGUGUUUACCAAGCAUCUUCAAGACAUCCCUACAACCAGAGGUCAGUUGGUCAUGUUUGAAUGCGGAAUCCAGGCCACAGCCACAGUUCAAGUUCACUGAGAAAUUAGGAAAAAAUGAUUCUCUUCGGUGAAAAAGGCCACCUCAGUAUUAGUGUGUUCAACAGUGGUUCAUAUUCAGAGAAGAUAUAGUCAUCUGGUCUAAUCUUCACAUUAGGGAUGAAGAAAGUCUGGGUAAGUAAAGUAAUUUUCACAAGGUCACAGAGCAAUUUAGUGAUAAAAGCAGAACUAAAAUCAAGUUCUUCUACCCUGCCACUUAUUCAUUCCUUUAUGCACCUUUUCUGAGUUUCUGAAGAAUUUACUUACCGUCUGUGACUCCAGAUUAGUCAAUUUUGUAUUUGUUUCCAGGUAUUUCUCAUAUACAUAUGGCCCCUUCUCCCAACUAAAUUAUCAUCACUUAAAUUCUCUCUCUUUUUUCUUGUUUUAUCUUUCAGAAGUUUAUCAUCCAUUCCUGGUAAGUAUAAUUUCUUAAAAUCUUGAAAAUUGAUUAAAUCAACAUUAGCAUCAGAAGACAUUGUCCCCUAAGUCACUCUUGCCUUCAUGAGCUCUUUUGAGGCUCCCCUACAUCAACUCUUGAACUGACACAACAGAAGAAGCAAGACAGCUGGGAUUUAUCAGUGUUUUUAUUCAUAUAUUUAUUCAUUCAACAUAGGUUUACUGAGUACAGACUAAUGGUUAGUCUCUGUUCUUGGUAUUAAGGAGACAGCAAUGAACCAGACUGACAAGGUCCCCACUCUCAAAGAAUAUGCAUUCUCCCUGUAAUCCCACUUGGUUUAGGAUUUGUGACUCGUGAACUUUAUACAGAAGCAAUAAGGAGAUGUCCUGACAUCGAACAUCCAAACUGCUCACUGUCCAAGAAGUAGUUGUGGUGACCAUCACACUGUGGCCAUCUCUGUAUUAACAUGAGGUCUAAGCGUGAUGGUAGUGAUAAUUUCUAGUUCAGUUCAGAAUAUGUUUCCAUAGGACUAAAGCUACAGAAAUCUAGAAAUCAAGGAAUAAAAUGUAAUCCCUGCUUUCAAGGAUUUCAUAGUCUAGUAGAGAAAACAAACAUGUCUAAGAGGCAGUUGAUAAGAACCAUGAUGGGACUGUUUAAGACUUUUUUUUAAUUUUAUUGAUAUAUAUUAGAGGUACAUAUUUUCAAGGUAUAUGUAAUAAUAUAUUCAUAUAAUGAAAUCAGGGUAAAUGAGAUAUGCAUCACCUAAAUUACUUUUCUUUACACUAGAAACAUUCAAAUUAUUCUCUUCUAGCUAUUUUGAAAUGUACAAUUAAU
RNAcentral lists this long non-coding RNA (1745 nucleotides) under Homo sapiens (human). RNAcentral describes it as "HSALNT0329744". Lineage: Eukaryota; Metazoa; Chordata; Mammalia; Primates; Hominidae. The record is from RNAcentral.